UCCAGCCCCUGGGCACUUGCUCACAGAAUGCCACAGCUUAAAAUCAUUAUAAAGAUAGCAUUAAGACAAUUAAACAAAUUACUUGGAAUCAAGAGUACUUAAAAUCUAUCUUUAACCUGAAUAAAAGGUACCAGAGGACAACCUCAGAAAUUGAGGGAAAUUACAGAAAAGUGUUACAACAUGAGUAUAACAAAACAAGCCAAAGGAGAGAGAAGAGAAAAAAAAAAAAAAAAGCUAAGGAUGCUAUUAAUCCAAAAUAUGCACGGAACUUAAAGCUGACAGUUUCUAGUAUAAUAGUAAUUCCAUAAUGACCAUACAGCAAAUAGCAUAACCAAGUAAAGAUGUUCUCUAUCA
This is a long non-coding RNA of Callorhinus ursinus (northern fur seal), 354 nucleotides long. RefSeq lists it as uncharacterized. The record is from RefSeq and is a predicted model, not a curated record. Lineage: Eukaryota; Metazoa; Chordata; Mammalia; Carnivora; Otariidae.